This 497-nucleotide ribosomal RNA is filed under the name uncultured bacterium. Its description in RNAcentral is "partial 16S ribosomal RNA". It matches the Rfam family "Bacterial small subunit ribosomal RNA", at positions 28 to 507 of the family's 1533-position model. The record is from RNAcentral.
GAUGAACGCUGGCGGCGUGCCUAAUACAUGCAAGUCGAGCGAACAGACGAGGAGCUUGCUCCUUCGACGUUAGCGGCGGACGGGUGAGUAACACGUAGGUAACCUACCUAUAAGACUGGGAUAACUUCGGGAAACCGGAGCUAAUACCGGAUAAUAUUUCGAACCGCAUGGUUCGAUAGUGAAAGAUGGCUUUGCUAUCACUUAUAGAUGGACCUGCGCCGUAUUAGCUAGUUGGUAAGGUAACGGCUUACCAAGGCAACGAUACGUAGCCGACCUGAGAGGGUGAUCGGCCACACUGGAACUGAGACACGGUCCAGACUCCUACGGGAGGCAGCAGUAGGGAAUCUUCCGCAAUGGGCGAAAGCCUGACGGAGCAACGCCGCGUGAGUGAUGAAGGUCUUCGGAUCGUAAAACUCUGUUAUUAGGGAAGAACAAACGUGUAAGUAACUGCGCACGUCUUGACGGUACCUAAUCAGAAAGCCGCGGCUAACUACGUG